This 768-nucleotide ribosomal RNA is filed under the name uncultured microorganism. Its description in RNAcentral is "bacterial SSU rRNA". It matches the Rfam family "Bacterial small subunit ribosomal RNA", at positions 57 to 810 of the family's 1533-position model. The record is from RNAcentral.
GCAAGUCGAGCGAAUGACAGGGAGCUUGCUCCCUUGAUUUAGCGGCGGACGGGUGAGUAACACGUGGGCAACCUGCCCUGUAGACUGGGAUAACUUCGGGAAACCGGAGCUAAUACCGGAUAAUCCAUUUCCCCUCAUGGGGAAAUGCUGAAAGGCGCUUUCGCGUCACUACAGGAUGGGCCCGCGGUGCAUUAGCUAGUUGGUGGGGUAACGGCCUACCAAGGCGACGAUGCAUAGCCGACCUGAGAGGGUGAUCGGCCACAUUGGGACUGAGACACGGCCCAAACUCCUACGGGAGGCAGCAGUAGGGAAUCUUCCACAAUGGACGAAAGUCUGAUGGAGCAACGCCGCGUGAGUGAUGAAGGUUUUCGGAUCGUAAAACUCUGUUGUAAGGGAAGAACAAGUACGUUAGGAAAUGAACGUACCUUGACGGUACCUUAUUAGAAAGCCACGGCUAACUACGUGCCAGCAGCCGCGGUAAUACGUAGGUGGCAAGCGUUGUCCGGAUUUAUUGGGCGUAAAGCGCGCGCAGGCGGUUUCUUAAGUCUGAUGUGAAAGCCCACGGCUUAACCGUGGAGGGUCAUUGGAAACUGGGAGACUUGAGUGCAGAAGAGGAAAGUGGAAUUCCAAGUGUAGCGGUGAAAUGCGUAGAGAUUUGGAGGAACACCAGUGGCGAAGGCGACUUUCUGGUCUGUAACUGACGCUGAGGCGCGAAAGCAUGGGGAGCAAACAGGAUUAGAUACCCUGGUAGUCCAUGCCGUAAACGAU